Molecule: long non-coding RNA, 436 nt
Filed under: Mytilus galloprovincialis (Mediterranean mussel)
Lineage: Eukaryota; Metazoa; Mollusca; Bivalvia; Mytilida; Mytilidae
Source: RNAcentral
UCCUGACUUGGGACAGGCACAUAAUGAGUGUGGCAGGGUUAAACGUGUUUGUGAGCGCUCAACCUUUCCCCCUUAUCUGGGAUAGUGACAUAACAGCACCUUUAAAAAUCAGUGGAAAGCUUAAAGUUAUCAGUUUUGUUGAUUUAGAAUGCAUUCAAGAAAAGGAUUGUCCAUAUAAAGUUGCCCUAAAUCUGACACCUCCUUUUCAGUACCCAUGACAUGACUUAGCCCAGUAUUCCCACAAGGGGCAAAUAUAUGUGUAGACUUUUUCAACACUACUAAUCUCAUUGUUUGUGCCACCAAUCUCCUCACCAUAUUAAUAUUAACCUCCUGCUCCCCUUUGGCUUCCUCAUUAUUUGACUCAUUAUAGCCCUCACUGUCAUCUUUCCCCUGCCCAUUCUGACCAAUUCUUAACCUUUCCUCAUUAAGUAAGUAA